AAGCGCUUGUGACCAGACUUGUGCCCGGCGGAUCAACCAGCGUUCUCGCUGGUGCACUCCUCCGGGCUCAGGCCAGCAUCGGUUUUCAUAGGGGGAUAAAAGCCUUGGGAAUGUGGCUCCUCCGGGAGUGUUAUAACCC
RNAcentral lists this ribosomal RNA (139 nucleotides) under Rhexodenticula acaciae. RNAcentral describes it as "partial large subunit ribosomal RNA". Lineage: Eukaryota; Fungi; Ascomycota; Sordariomycetes. The record is from RNAcentral.